This 399-nucleotide ribosomal RNA is filed under the name uncultured bacterium. RNAcentral's name for it is "bacterial SSU rRNA". It matches the Rfam family "Bacterial small subunit ribosomal RNA", at positions 356 to 772 of the family's 1533-position model. The record is from RNAcentral.
GGGGAAUAUUGGACAAUGGGCGCAAGCCUGAUCCAGCCAUGCCGCGUGAGUGAUGAAGGCCUUCGGGUUGUAAAGCUCUUUUGGCGGGGACGAUGAUGACGGUACCCGCAGAAUAAGCCCCGGCUAACUUCGUGCCAGCAGCCGUGGUAAUACGGAGGGGGCUAGCGUUAUUCGGAAUUAUUGGGCGUAAAGGGCGCGUAGGCGGCCCGGUAAGUCAAAGGUGAAAUCCCUCGGCUCAACUGAGGAACUGCCUUUGAAACUGUCGGGCUUGAGGCCGGGAGGGGGUAGCGGAAUUCCCAGUGUAGCGGUGAAAUGCGUAGAUAUUGGGAGGAACACCGGUGGCGAAGGCGGCUACCUGGACCGGUUCUGACGCUGAUGCGCGAAAGCGUGGGUAGCAAA